RNAcentral lists this transfer RNA (73 nucleotides) under Schistocephalus solidus. It matches the Rfam family "tRNA". Rfam says of the family: Transfer RNA (tRNA) molecules are approximately 80 nucleotides in length. Their secondary structure includes four short double-helical elements and three loops (D, anti-codon, and T loops). Lineage: Eukaryota; Metazoa; Platyhelminthes; Cestoda; Diphyllobothriidea; Diphyllobothriidae. The record is from Rfam by way of RNAcentral.
GAGCCAGUGGCUCAAUGGUUAGAGCGUUUGACCUCUGAUCAACUGGUCCCGGGUUCACGCUUUGGGUGGUUCA